CAGUAGCCACGGUAAUACGAAGGGUGCAAGCGUUAAUCGGAAUUACUGGGCGUAAAGCGCGCGUAGGUGGUUUGGUAAGAUGGAUGUGAAAUCCCCGGGCUCAACCUGGGAACUGCAUCCAUAACUGCCUGACUAGAGUACGGUAGAGGGUGGUGGAAUUUCCUGUGUAGCGGUGAAAUGCGUAGAUAUAGGAAGGAACACCAGUGGCGAAGGCGACCACCUGGACUGAUACUGACACUGAGGUGCGAAAGCGUGGGGAGCAAACAGGAUUAGAUACCCCUGUAGUCCCUGUCUCUUAUAA
RNAcentral lists this ribosomal RNA (301 nucleotides) under uncultured bacterium. RNAcentral describes it as "partial 16S ribosomal RNA". It matches the Rfam family "Bacterial small subunit ribosomal RNA", at positions 509 to 809 of the family's 1533-position model. The record is from RNAcentral.